UUGCAACACGUGCAAUGUUUACUGUUCAUCUAAUACACAAGUGUCUACAUCUGUGUGCUUACUGUUAAAUUUGUUAUAUUAUAAUGAGCUUUAGUUACCAUGUUGCAUGCAUGAACCGAAUUAUAAUUAUGUUGCAUGUACAGUUUGUCAUACUACAGGUAUCUGGAUUACAAGCCUGCAUGUUCAGUGUUGUUGUUAGCUAAUUGAGUGCAAUUACUUUAAUGCAUGCAGCAUCUGAAAGCCAUCUCACCAUACGGAGUGAAACAUUAUGUUGCAUGUUCUUUUAAUAAGUAGAUCACAGGAGUGGAAUAACUUAUAUUAGCGAUGGGCCUGAAUACAAAUCCUGAUCCUAGUCCCCCAUGAACUUUGUGGGGAUAAGGUAUUGAACCCUGCUCACAGUCCAGAUCCAGAUCUUGUAGUUGGACCCUACCUUCAUAAGGUGCUGAACCAAAACCAUAAAUACACACUUUUCCAUCCAUUCCCCCCGCCCUGACUUUUGGAGAGGAGGUAUUCAAAAUCCAAAUCCAAGGUACAGAACUAGGCUCAGGCCCACCACUAAUUUAUAUUGAUGACAUUUCAAUUCAUAUAGUAUUUCUUUACAUAUUUUGUAUUCUUUACAGAAACUUAUUGCCAGCAAAGAUCACCCAGAAGGAAGGAAGACAUUGGGAGGGAAAAAUGGCUCCACUAUAGCUUAUGAAGAAAUUUAGAUCUAUCACACAUAGAGAGAAUCCCACAUUGCAAGAAACAAACUGAGAAGCUGAAGGGAAGAAAAAGAGGAAUGGCUUUAUAUCUUGUUGUCUAAGUUUACCACAAUUUGUUUGCCAUAUUCAUCACCACCAGUUUAUUCUAUAAAUCCUCCCCUCUGUUCCAUGCUUUCUGUGACCUGGAAUAAGUAGGCUAGUUCACAUUCCUCUUCUGUGAGUUCACAUCAUUAGAUCCUUUCACCCCUUGUACAAGCAGCUCUGCUCCAGGAUUAUUCAUUGCCCCAUUAUAUCACGAGACCUGUUCACCGUCCUUUCAUCAUUCUCUUCCAUACUCUCAGUUUAUGUUCAUUAGCUACUUUUUCAUCCUCACGUCUAACAGACCCCAUCCGUUUGCCUCUCUGCCUUUAAAGCACCACUAACUAUAAUAUGUGAGCACUAGCCUUUAAGGCUUCUUAAUCCUCCCUUAACCACUUCAAACACUUCAAAUUUACUGUGCCUGUUUUGUAAAUGAACAAAUAUUCUGAUUAUUAAAUAUAUUUCUGAAAGUUUA
Long non-coding RNA from Trachemys scripta elegans, 1254 nucleotides. RefSeq lists it as uncharacterized. Lineage: Eukaryota; Metazoa; Chordata; Testudines; Emydidae. The transcript has 2 exons. The record is from RefSeq and is a predicted model, not a curated record.